UAAUACAGAGGGUGCGAGCGUUAAUCGGAUUUACUGGGCGUAAAGGGCGCGUAGGCGGCGAGAUGAGUGUGAUGUGAAAGCCCCGGGCUUAACCUGGGAAGUGCAUCGCAAACGAUUUUGCUGGAGUAGAUGAGAGGGUGGCGGAAUUUCCGGUGUAGCGGUGAAAUGCGUAGAGAUCGGAAGGAACGUCGAUGGCGAAGGCAGCCACCUGGCAUCAUACUGACGCUGAGGCGCGAGAGCGUGGGGAGCGAACAGGAUUAGAUACCCUGGUAGUCCACGCUGUAAACGAUGAGAACUAGAUGUUGGUAGGGGAACCUAUCGGUAUCGAAGCUAACGCGAUAAGUUCUCCGCCUGGGAAGUACGGCCGCAAGGUUG
RNAcentral lists this ribosomal RNA (375 nucleotides) under uncultured bacterium. RNAcentral describes it as "bacterial SSU rRNA". It matches the Rfam family "Bacterial small subunit ribosomal RNA", at positions 521 to 896 of the family's 1533-position model. The record is from RNAcentral.